This 291-nucleotide long non-coding RNA is filed under the name Olea europaea (common olive). Its description in RNAcentral is "long non-coding RNA (OEUR_LNC005521)". The record is from RNAcentral. Lineage: Eukaryota; Viridiplantae; Streptophyta; Magnoliopsida; Lamiales; Oleaceae.
ACGCAGCUUCAUUUUCUGGGUUCCGUCUUCUGCUGGUUCUUUCCUUUUUAUUUUGUUUUUAUUUUCUUUUUUCUUUUCAUUUUACUUGGUAUUUUGGAGAACAAAUCAUAGAGCACAAGAAGGUACCAAAGGAUUUGGCAAGGAUUUUGGGAAAAUCAAGAUUAAGCUACAAAAAAGGGUUUUAUCUAUAUCUUUGUAUUUUCUCCAUUAUUUAGCCAUAUUUGUAAUACAUUGGAUGAAUAAUCUCCUUGAUUAUCAUUUAUUUAACAUGGGCUAAGUAUUGAGUUGGGA